AUUUCGAAUAAAAAUUAUGUAUACAGAAGAACCCCGUUUAUACGUUUCUCACUUCUACGUUUUUCGCACUGGUACGUUGUGUUUUGUACGCUCUUUCGAGUUUGCAUGCAAAAUCAUCCCACUCGCAUGUUUUCCAUUUAUACGUCUUCGCAUUUGUACGCUAUUAGUUUUAUUCGCCCAGAGUCAUUUCGUUGCACUUACACAUAAAAUCCAAGCUUUAAAACCUUUUCGACUAAGAAACAAUUUGUUAUACUGUACACUACAUUAUCUUACAAAAUAGAAAGUGUUGAAGAUGACAUUGACUGGGCACGUAUUUUAGGGGGAAUUGAUUUUGUUAGUUUUGUUGAUUGUGAUGCUGAUGUUGCCGUAUGUUGUGUGUAGAGUGAUGAUG
Molecule: long non-coding RNA, 391 nt
Filed under: Androctonus crassicauda
Lineage: Eukaryota; Metazoa; Arthropoda; Arachnida; Scorpiones; Buthidae
Source: RNAcentral